GGUGGUCCCACCUGACCCCAUGCCGAACUCAGAAGUGAAACGCCGUAGCGCCGAUGGUAGUGUGGGGUCUCCCCAUGUGAGAGUAGGGCAUUGCCAGGC
Molecule: ribosomal RNA, 99 nt
Filed under: Escherichia coli
Lineage: Bacteria; Pseudomonadati; Pseudomonadota; Gammaproteobacteria; Enterobacterales; Enterobacteriaceae
Also listed under: 1 other name
Source: RNAcentral